RNAcentral lists this long non-coding RNA (209 nucleotides) under Gossypium barbadense (sea-island cotton). Its description in RNAcentral is "long non-coding RNA (GBAR_LNC006657)". The record is from RNAcentral. Lineage: Eukaryota; Viridiplantae; Streptophyta; Magnoliopsida; Malvales; Malvaceae.
AGAUGAAAGGUAAACAGAAGAGGACCUGGAAAAAACAAACAAUGAAAUUACAUCCAGCAAGGGGUUCUAAAUCAAAAUGCCCUAUACAACAUGACAUAUUUCCCUAACCACUCUCUCAGCUUCAAGUGAUCCAUCACGGAAUCUCCUCUACUCAUUGUUUUCAAAUAUUUUAGCUACAAAUGGUUGUACAUUUUCCUUGUGGGUUUUUU